UGGGGAAUAUUGCACAAUGGGCGCAAGCCUGAUGCAGCCAUGCCGCGUGUAUGAAGAAGGCCUUCGGGUUGUAAAGUACUUUCAGCGGGGAGGAAGGGAGUAAAGUUAAUACCUUUGCUCAUUGACGUUACCCGCAGAAGAAGCACCGGCUAACUCCGUGCCAGCAGCCGCGGUAAUACGGAGGGUGCAAGCGUUAAUCGGAAUUACUGGGCGUAAAGCGCACGCAGGCGGUUUGUUAAGUCAGAUGUGAAAUCCUCGGGCUCAACCUGGGAAGUGCAUCUGAUACUGGCAAGCUUGAGUCUCGUAGAGGGGGGUAGAAUUCCAGGUGUAGCGGUGAAAUGCGUAGAGAUCUGGAGGAAUACCUGUGGCGAAGGCGGCCGCCUGGACGAAGACUGACGCUCAGGUGCGAAAGCGUGGGGAGCAAACAGG
Molecule: ribosomal RNA, 429 nt
Filed under: Chloroflexota bacterium
Lineage: Bacteria; Bacillati; Chloroflexota
Description: Chloroflexi bacterium partial 16S ribosomal RNA
Rfam family: Bacterial small subunit ribosomal RNA
Source: RNAcentral